GUAGAGCGCUUGACUGUUAAUCAAGAUGUCGUCAGUUCGAGUCUGACAGCCGGAG
Molecule: non-coding RNA, 55 nt
Organism: Lactobacillus kalixensis DSM 16043
Lineage: Bacteria; Bacillati; Bacillota; Bacilli; Lactobacillales; Lactobacillaceae
Source: Rfam